CCUACGGGUGGCAGCAGUGGGGAAUAUUGCACAAUGGGGGAAACCCUGAUGCAGCAACGCCGCGUGAGUGAGGAAGUAUUUCGGUAUGUAAAGCUCUAUCAGCAGGGAGUAGAAAAGAAGGUACAUGAAAAAGAAGCCUCGGCUAACUACGUGCCAGCAGCCGCGGUAAUACGUGGGGGGCAAGCGUUGUCCGGAUUUACUGGGUGUAAAGGGAGCGGAGACGGAAAGGCGAGUCAGAAGUGAAAACCCAAGGCUCAACCAUGGAACUGCUUUUGAGACUGUCAAACUAGAGUACGGGAGAGGGAGGUGGAAUUCCUUGUGUAGCGGUGAAAUGCGUAGAUAUGAGGAGGAACACCAGUGGCGAAGGCGUCUUACUGGACCAAAACUGACGUUGAGGCUCGAAGGCGUGGGGAGCAAACAGGAUUAGAUACCCGAGUAGUC
RNAcentral lists this ribosomal RNA (441 nucleotides) under uncultured bacterium. RNAcentral describes it as "partial 16S ribosomal RNA". It matches the Rfam family "Bacterial small subunit ribosomal RNA", at positions 338 to 795 of the family's 1533-position model. The record is from RNAcentral.